GCAAUCUGCCCUUCACUCUGGGACAAGCCCUGGAAACGGGGUCUAAUACCGGAUAACACUUCCACUCUCCUGGGUGGAGGUUAAAAGCUCCGGCGGUGAAGGAUGAGCCCGCGGCCUAUCAGCUUGUUGGUGAGGUAAUGGCUCACCAAGGCGACGACGGGUAGCCGGCCUGAGAGGGCGACCGGCCACACUGGGACUGAGACACGGCCCAGACUCCUACGGGAGGCAGCAGUGGGGAAUAUUGCACAAUGGGCGAAAGCCUGAUGCAGCGACGCCGCGUGAGGGAUGACGGCCUUCGGGUUGUAAACCUCUUUCAGCAGGGAAGAAGCGAAAGUGACGGUACCUGCAGAAGAAGCGCCGGCUAACUACGUGCCAGCAGCCGCGGUAAUACGUAGGGCGCAAGCGUUGUCCGGAAUUAUUGGGCGUAAAGAGCUCGUAGGCGGCUUGUCACGUCGGGUGUGAAAGCCCGGGGCUUAACCCCGGGUCUGCAUUCGAUACGGGCUAGCUAGAGUGUGGUAGGGGAGAUCGGAAUUCCUGGUGUAGCGGUGAAAUGCGCAGAUAUCAGGAGGAACACCGGUGGCGAAGGCGGAUCUCUGGGCCAUUACUGACGCUGAGGAGCGAAAGCGUGGGGAGCGAACAGGAUUAGAUACCCUGGUAGUCCACGCCGUAAACGGUGGGAACUAGGUGU
Molecule: ribosomal RNA, 688 nt
Filed under: Streptomyces sp. ms53
Lineage: Bacteria; Bacillati; Actinomycetota; Actinomycetes; Kitasatosporales; Streptomycetaceae
Description: bacterial SSU rRNA
Rfam family: Bacterial small subunit ribosomal RNA
Source: RNAcentral